CCUACGGGUGGCAGCAGUGAGGAAUAUUGGUCAAUGGACGAGAGUCUGAACCAUCCAAGUAGCGUGAAGGAUGACUGCCCUAUGGGUGGUAAACUUCUUUUAUAUGGGAAUAAAAUGUUCCACGUGUGGGAUUUUGUAUGUACCAUAUGAAUAAGGAUCGGCUAACUCCGUGCCAGCAGCCGCGGUAAUACGGAGGGUCCGAGCGUUAUCCGGAUGUAUUGGGUUUAAAGGGAGCGUAGGUGGAUUGGUAAGUCAGUUGUGAAAGUUGGCGGCUCAACCGUAAAAUUGCAGUUGAAACUGGCAGGCUUGAGUAUAGUAGAGGUAGGCGGAAUUCGUGGUGUAGCGGUGAAAUGCUUAGAUAUCACGAAGAACUCCGAUUGCGAAGGCAGUUCACUGGACUGCAACUGACACUGAGGCUCGAAAGUGUGGGUAUCAAACAGGAUUAGAUACCCGAGUAGUC
This 460-nucleotide ribosomal RNA is filed under the name uncultured bacterium. Its description in RNAcentral is "partial 16S ribosomal RNA". It matches the Rfam family "Bacterial small subunit ribosomal RNA", at positions 338 to 795 of the family's 1533-position model. The record is from RNAcentral.